This 159-nucleotide ribosomal RNA is filed under the name Lembocarpus amoenus. RNAcentral describes it as "5.8S ribosomal RNA". It matches the Rfam family "5.8S ribosomal RNA". From Rfam's summary of the family: 5.8S ribosomal RNA (5.8S rRNA) is a component of the large subunit of the eukaryotic ribosome. Lineage: Eukaryota; Viridiplantae; Streptophyta; Magnoliopsida; Lamiales; Gesneriaceae. The record is from RNAcentral.
UAAACGACUCUCGGCAACGGAUAUCUCGGCUCUCGCAUCGAUGAAGAACGUAGCGAAAUGCGAUACUUGGUGUGAAUUGCAGAAUCCCGUGAACCAUCGAGUCUUUGAACGCAAGUUGCGCCCAAAGCCAUUAGGCUGAGGGCACGUCUGCCUGGGCGU